Molecule: ribosomal RNA, 452 nt
Filed under: uncultured bacterium
Lineage: Bacteria
Description: bacterial SSU rRNA
Rfam family: Bacterial small subunit ribosomal RNA
Source: RNAcentral
UACGGGAGGAGCAGUGGGGAAUAUUGCACAAUGGGCGCAAGCCUGAUGCAGCCAUGCCGCGUGUAUGAAGAAGGCCUUCGGGUUGUAAAGUACUUUCAGUCGUGAGGAAGGUGUUAAGGUUAAUAACCUUAGCAAUUGACGUUAGCGACAGAAGAAGCACCGGCUAACUCCGUGCCAGCAGCCGCGGUAAUACGGAGGGUGCGAGCGUUAAUCGGAAUUACUGGGCGUAAAGGGCACGCAGGCGGUUAAUUAAGUUGGAUGUGAAAUCCCCGGGCUUAACCUGGGAAUGGCAUUCAAGACUGGUUAGCUAGAGUCUUGUAGAGGGGGUAGAAUUCCGAUGUGUAGCGGUGAAAUGCGUAGAGAUGUGGAGGAAUACCGGUGGCGAAGGCGGCCCCUGGACAAAGACUGACGCUCAUGUGCGAAAGCGUGGGGAGCAAACAGGGAUUAGAUAC